This 154-nucleotide ribosomal RNA is filed under the name Stegodyphus mimosarum. RNAcentral describes it as "5.8S ribosomal RNA". It matches the Rfam family "5.8S ribosomal RNA". Rfam says of the family: 5.8S ribosomal RNA (5.8S rRNA) is a component of the large subunit of the eukaryotic ribosome. It is transcribed by RNA polymerase I as part of the 45S precursor that also contains 18S and 28S rRNA. Functionally, it is thought that 5.8S rRNA may be involved in ribosome translocation. The record is from Rfam by way of RNAcentral. Lineage: Eukaryota; Metazoa; Arthropoda; Arachnida; Araneae; Eresidae.
AACUCUGAGCAGUAGAUCACUCGGCUCACGGAUCAAUGAAGAACGCAGCCAGCUGCGAGACUAGGUGUGAAUUGCAGGACACAUUGAGCACUGAUUUUUCGAAAGCGUAUUGCGGUCUCAGGUAAUACCCGGGACCGAGCCUGUUUGAGGGGCA